GUUCUCUCUCUCGCUCACUCUCCCCCCCCCGCCCCCUCCCUCUCAAUCUCUCCUUCUCUCAUGUGCUUGGAAUAUGCUCAGGGUUAACUCAGAGCAACCGAAGCACGCGUAAUGAACUGAGUAUUAGCGGCAAUUUUAAAGGAAGGGACGGCCUUGGAAGGCUGGAUAUUUGGCGGACUGUCCAACGGGUCCCACACAGCAUGUAUCUUAUCUGGGAUGAUUUCUGAUUGCAUAUGCCGAUUUCGGCGAUGCUUCUCGCGCAGUUUGAGAAAGAGAAAUAUGGCCCUGAUUCCCCUGCUCAGGAGAGAGGCCAAAUGGACAUGUCUGUCUGGGACUUUGCCUACUGCUGAACCAACAUGAGCUCAGGUGAGAGAGGAGUCAUCAGGAGCCAGACAGAGAGUACCAGGAUAACGGCUGUGUCCAUGUGUUAAGGAUGACCCACAGAUCACAGAGAUGGAGCAUCUAUCUGCGUGACCCUUUACUGUUGUCUCUAGUGGGGCUCGAGACAUGGGCUUCGAUCACCACCUGAACAUCAACAUGCACAACCAUCAAGAUACAGUACACUGAGAAGACAGAUACAGAACUCUACUAUUUAUAAUCAGCAUGCAUACACCUGUUCUAGAUACACAGAAACCACCAAAUACACACUAACAUCCUUUGAAUCAAGUCAGUUUUUUGUAUCAUUGUGAUUUAAAUCUGUAAGUUGUAAAACUGUUUACCAUAUGUCUACUCACUGGGAUGUAGAAGUACAACAUUAUUUAUUCUGAAUUGUAAAAGUCUGUAUUAGUAUAUUGGAUUUUGAAUGAACCUGUCCUUAGAAUACAGCAUAACAUCUGAAGGGAACCCGCAGGACACAUUGUCUUUAUCUGGCAUUGACUGAAUUUAUAGAAAAAGUAAACAUCAAAGGGAAUAUUUUUGUACUUUCUCAAAUCACUGUAUUUUCUCAGUGAGCAGAAUAAAAUAUAUUCAAGAAUAUCUUGUUUCUGAGUUUUUUACAGUAUGUCUACAGUACUGUAUAUACCUUUGACAUGACUAGAUCCUCUGUGGGAUCAAUGUGGAAUGGGUGCUGAUCAAAAUAAAACAACAUGGCUGACA
Molecule: long non-coding RNA, 1095 nt
Organism: Oncorhynchus mykiss (rainbow trout)
Lineage: Eukaryota; Metazoa; Chordata; Actinopteri; Salmoniformes; Salmonidae
Source: RefSeq, a predicted model, not a curated record